UGGGGAAUUUUGGACAAUGGGGGAAACCCUGAUCCAGCCAUCCCGCGUGUGCGAUGAAGGCCUUCGGGUUGUAAAGCACUUUUGGCAGGAAAGAAACGUCAUGGGUUAAUACCCCGUGAAACUGACGGUACCUGCAGAAUAAGCACCGGCUAACUACGUGCCAGCAGCCGCGGUAAUACGUAGGGUGCAAGCGUUAAUCGGAAUUACUGGGCGUAAAGCGUGCGCAGGCGGUUCGGAAAGAAAGAUGUGAAAUCCCAGAGCUCAACUUUGGAACUGCAUUGUUAACUUGCGGGCUAGAGUGUGUCAGAGGGAGGUGGAAUUCCGCGUGUAGCAGUGAAAUGCGUAGAUAUGCGGAGGAACACCGAUGGCGAAGGCAGCAUCAAGGGAUAAAACUGACGCUCAUGCACGAAAGCGUGGGGAGCAAACAGG
RNAcentral lists this ribosomal RNA (429 nucleotides) under Acidobacteriota bacterium. RNAcentral's name for it is "Acidobacteria bacterium partial 16S ribosomal RNA". It matches the Rfam family "Bacterial small subunit ribosomal RNA", at positions 355 to 776 of the family's 1533-position model. The record is from RNAcentral. Lineage: Bacteria; Pseudomonadati; Acidobacteriota.